Long non-coding RNA from Aethalodelphis obliquidens (Pacific white-sided dolphin), 153 nucleotides. RefSeq lists it as uncharacterized. The transcript is spliced from 3 exons. NCBI's taxonomy places the organism in Eukaryota, Metazoa, Chordata, Mammalia, Artiodactyla, Delphinidae. The record is from RefSeq and is a predicted model, not a curated record.
UUGGUGGGGAUAAUGGCAGACACUGGGAGGGCUCACGACAAGUAGUACUUCCCAGAACUUCUGCUGCCAGUGUCCUUGUCCCUGCAGUGAGCCACAGUCACCUCCCAUCUGCAGGAGACCCUCGAGCACUAGCAGCCAAUGAAAGAAACCUGC